GCCGGAUAAUCGCGCAAACCACCGGUUUGUGAGGAAAGUCCGGGCAUCCGAGGACAAAUCGCCGGAUAACGUCCGGUGCGGGCGACCGCGAGGAUAGUGCCACAGAAAUACACCGCCUAUGUGCGAAAGCGCAGGUAAGGGUGCAAUAGUGAGGUAAGAGCUCACCGGCGGUAUUGAGAAAUACCGUUCAGGUAAACCCCGAUUGGAUGCAAGAUUGAACUAAAGGUUAAGGCUGUCCGCCGUCUUUAAACAAAUCGCUAAAGCUCACGGGCAACCGUGCGCGCAGACAGAUGAUUAUCUAAAACAGAACCCGGCUUACGGGCUGCUC
Molecule: RNase P RNA, 328 nt
Filed under: Candidatus Spyradomonas excrementavium
Lineage: Bacteria; Bacillati; Candidatus Melainabacteria; Candidatus Gastranaerophilales; Candidatus Gastranaerophilaceae
Description: Bacterial RNase P class A
Rfam family: Bacterial RNase P class A
About the family: Ribonuclease P (RNase P) is a ubiquitous endoribonuclease, found in archaea, bacteria and eukarya as well as chloroplasts and mitochondria. Its best characterised activity is the generation of mature 5'-ends of tRNAs by cleaving the 5'-leader elements of precursor-tRNAs.
Source: RNAcentral